Boleophthalmus pectinirostris (great blue-spotted mudskipper) is the source of this 2436-nucleotide RNA transcript. It is a transcript of the gene named CBY1 interacting BAR domain containing 1, with no coding region annotated. NCBI's taxonomy places the organism in Eukaryota, Metazoa, Chordata, Actinopteri, Gobiiformes, Gobiidae. The transcript is spliced from 6 exons. The record is from RefSeq and is a predicted model, not a curated record.
GGAAACGGUAGAUUGGCGUCAUGCUACAUGCUAAACACAACUAGCUUGAGCGUGCAGCGAGUAGCCUGUUCAGUGAUUCUGAACACCUGUCCAAUGUUAUUCUCUUAUCAUUAUGAGCCGAACACCGGACGACAGGGCGCGAGAUGUUGAACUCUUACAAUCCAGGAGAGCAUCACCAGUGUGGAAAAAUACUUUGGAGAAAUGUGUCAACUGUUUGCUGGCUAUGGACGUAAAGAAGCAAGAUUCUGAGAUACAGGACAUCUUUUUAUGAGCUUUAUUGGUCAGUACGCAGACACUGAAACGCCAGAUCUUAAAGGGGCAUCAAGCAGUUUACAGAUAACUUGGCUAAGACGUAAGACUAUCCCCAUGGUGAGGUGGAAAGUGGUGCAUUGCAAAGACAGAGGCUGCAGAGGGUUACAAUGGAUGUCACCAGGAUCACUCGGAGCCUGAAAGAAACCAUAGAUGACAGUAAAAACAGAAAAUCAGAGAUAUUAAGAAGAUCUUUGGGGAGUUUGUGGUUAUCGAGAUGCUGUCUCAUGCUAAAGCCUUCGAGCUGUACACUUUGGCCUACCAGAGUAUUCAGAGCAUGGAUGAGGAGGCGGACCUGGAGUCUAUGUGUUGACUGGGCCAGAUGUGUAGAUGUGCUGACUGGUCCAGAGAGUGAGUGUCACUUUCAAAAUGCAGUAUAUCCAGCCUCCAUGGACGACCUGAUAAACACGAAUCAUUGCUCAUACGCACAUUGUCCACACCCUCAAACUGAUGUGGCAACAACUCACCACAAGUUAUGCAGGCUACUUUUUGGUUGUACAAAGAGAGGUUUAAAGGACUGUUUACAUUUAAAUGAAUCAAUAACAAACACUGUUGUGCUCUUUUUAAAUGUAUCACUCAUCACCGUCUCAUCUGUAUUUUUACUUUGAAUGACGCAUGCUUCAUUCAUGCUUUAGUGAAACUCCUCUCCCACAUAAGGCAGGUUUCAGUGACUCAUGGUUCAAAGCAGAUUCAUCAGAAAACUAAACAAUAAAAGGCAUGAGGAUCAUCCUGACAAAGGGUUAAGGUGGGCUCAUUGGUUGCCAUGGCAAAAAACUGUUGUGGUUUAGAGUGUUUUAAAUGAGUUUCACACCGUGAACUCACUGUACCUUUGCAUUUAUUUGAGUAAUAAUGAAAAGAUGCAUACUACCAGUAUUACAUAUCAAGUUUUUUUAUUCAUUGAGUAGAAGUACAGUGCUCGCUACUGUCUUGGCAGGUGUUCAGGUCCACCCUGCUCCCAGAAGAAUAGCAGUCCCACUUAGACAUAGUGCAACUCAUUCCCAAACAUUCCUCAAUCACACUGAGUCCUUCAUGGAAAGCUCAGGGUCCACACAGGUAAGACAGAGAUGCCACAGCCUCUUCACAUAGACAUUUAAAACUCUCUAAAUGUUAUUUAAACAAAUGUAUAUGUUCUUAGAAAGUUAUUUGCAUUAUUAACACUUAUUAGUAUCACUUGUAUUGUUUUUAUAAUAUGUCUGCUUUUCAUUACAUUGCUGUGUCAACAUUACAUACAUUCAUUCAAAUUAUCCAUAUUGCUGCAAGUCUUUCUUGUUGGUCUUGUUUGGUCUUGUGUGAUGUUUGUGCCACUGUACUUUUCAGAGCCUGUUUUUACACAAAUCAGUUGGUUCCUUUAGUGUUUUGGGGAUGACAGAUUGUGUUGCAGAUGCAGAUUGCUGUUGACACGUGUCGUCUGAAUGAGCAUCAACAUGAACACGAGGAACACACUGACGGACUUCUGACUUUCUGAGUCUUAUCCCUGAUAAUCAGCUGCUUCUAAACAAUAAUAUUAACACUGUUGUUUGUUUGGUGCAGAGCUAUAGGCCUCACUUACAAAAUGUGUGUAUUUUACCUGAAUUUUCAAAUUAUUUAACAUUUAAUCAAAUAUUGUGUGCAAGACAUAAUGUUAUAUUCUAUUGGAUUAUUUUACAGCUUUUUCCUGAUUACCUUACAUGCAAACAACAACAAACUUUUUGUGACAAAAGCAUUUCACAAAUGGAUUUGAUAUUACCACAUAAAAAAAUCUAAUCAGCCAAAUAUUUUCAAAAAUACAUUUUCCCAUUUAUAUUGCAGCAACACUGAGCGAGUCUUUGACAGAUGAAGAGAGAGGAAAAGGGUGAUGAAGAGGAUUAUGAGGAGGAGUCAGAGGACAGUUAAUAUGCUUACGUUGUGCAUUUGAAUCAACUUUGGCUAUGAGUAUUGAAUUAUAUGAAGUUAUCAGUAUUUUCGUAAUUUACUACUUUAUAUUGUUAUCUUUUACACAAUUUAUGCCACUUUGUUUUUUUCAUAACACUGUGACCCCAUCUUAAUAUAUGUAAAAUAUUGUUUCUACUAUUGUUGUUGUUGUUUUGUUUGUUUUUUUGGACUCAAUGCAAACUGGCCUUCUUUACUAUUAAAUUAAUUUAUAAAUAA